GAUGAAGAACGUAGUGAAAUGCGAUAAGUAAUGUGAAUUGCAGAAUUCAGUGAAUCAUCGAAUCUUUGAACGCACAUUGCGCCCGCCAGCAUUCUGGCGGGCAUGCCUGUUCGAGCGUCAUUUCAACCCUCAAGCUCUGCUUGGUGUUGGGGCCCUACGGUUGACGUAGGCCCUUAAAGGUAGUGGCGGACCCUCUCGGAGCCUCCUUUGCGUAGUAACUAACGUCUCGCAUUGGGAUUCGGAGGGACUCUUGCCGUAAAACCCCCAAAUUUUCUAAUGGUUGACCUCGGAUCAGGUAGGAAUACCCGCUGAACUUAAGCAUAUCAAUAACGGAGGA
RNAcentral lists this unclassified non-coding RNA (337 nucleotides) under soil metagenome. RNAcentral's name for it is "partial contains 5.8S ribosomal RNA, internal transcribed spacer 2, and large subunit ribosomal RNA". The stretch from base 1 to 120 matches the Rfam family "5.8S ribosomal RNA", at positions 35 to 154 of the family's 154-position model. The record is from RNAcentral.